RNAcentral lists this ribosomal RNA (492 nucleotides) under uncultured bacterium. RNAcentral describes it as "partial 16S ribosomal RNA". It matches the Rfam family "Bacterial small subunit ribosomal RNA", at positions 29 to 507 of the family's 1533-position model. The record is from RNAcentral.
AGUGAACGCUGGCGGUAGGCCUAACACAUGCAAGUCGAACGGCAGCACAGUAAGAGCUUGCUCUUACGGGUGGCGAGUGGCGGACGGGUGAGGAAUACAUCGGAAUCUACUUUUUCGUGGGGGAUAACGUAGGGAAACUUACGCUAAUACCGCAUACGACCUACGGGUGAAAGCAGGGGAUCUUCGGACCUUGCGCGAUUGAAUGAGCCGAUGUCGGAUUAGCUAGUUGGCGGGGUAAAGGCCCACAAAGGCGACGAUCCGUAGCUGGUCUGAGAGGAUGAUCAGCCACACUGGAACUGAGACACGGUCCAGACUCCUACGGGAGGCAGCAGUGGGGAAUAUAGGACAAUGGGCGCAAGCCUGAUCCAGCCAUACCGCGUGGGUGAAGAAGGCCUUCGGGUUGUAAAGCCCUUUUGUUGGGAAAGAAAAGCAGCAGGUUAAUACCCCGCUGUUCUGACGGUACCCAAAGAAUAAGCACCGGCUAACUUCGUG